GCUGCGAUGGCCGAAUGGUUAAGGCGUUGGACUCGAAAUCCAAUGGGAUAUUCCCGACCCGGUUCGAAUCCUGUUCGCAGCG
Ciona savignyi (Pacific transparent sea squirt) is the source of this 82-nucleotide non-coding RNA. NCBI's taxonomy places the organism in Eukaryota, Metazoa, Chordata, Ascidiacea, Phlebobranchia, Cionidae. The record is from Rfam.